Molecule: ribosomal RNA, 497 nt
Filed under: uncultured bacterium
Lineage: Bacteria
Description: partial 16S ribosomal RNA
Rfam family: Bacterial small subunit ribosomal RNA
Source: RNAcentral
GAUGAACGCUGGCGGCGUGCCUAAUACAUGCAAGUCGAGCGAACAGACGAGGAGCUUGCUCCUCUGACGUUAGCGGCGGACGGGUGAGUAACACGUGGAUAACCUACCUAUAAGACUGGGAUAACUUCGGGAAACCGGAGCUAAUACCGGAUAAUAUAUUGAACCGCAUGGUUCAAUAGUGAAAGACGGCUUUGCUGUCACUUAUAGAUGGAUUCGCGCCGCAUUAGCUAGUUGGUAAGGUAACGGCUUACCAAGGCAACGAUGCGUAGCCGACCUGAGAGGGUGAUCGGCCACACUGGAACUGAGACACGGUCCAGACGCCUACGGGAGGCAGCAGUAGGGAAUCUUCCGCAAUGGGCGAAAGCCUGACGGAGCAACGCCGCGUGAGUGAUGAAGGUCUUCGGAUCGUAAAGCUCUGUUAUUGGGGAAGAACAAAUGUGUAAGUAACUAUGCACGUCUUGACGGUACCUAAUCAAAAAGCCACGGCUAACUACGUG